GUGGGGAAUCUUGCGCAAUGGGCGAAAGCCUGACGCAGCCAUGCCGCGUGAAUGAUGAAGGUCUUAGGAUUGUAAAAUUCUUUCACCGGGGACGAUAAUGACGGUACCCGGAGAAGAAGCUCCGGCUAACUUCGUGCCAGCAGCCGCGGUAAUACGAAGGGGGCUAGCGUUGCUCGGAAUUACUGGGCGUAAAGGGCGCGUAGGCGGACAGCUUAGUCAGAGGUGAAAGCCCAGGGCUCAACCUUGGAAUUGCCUUUGAUACUGGCUGUCUUGAGUUUGGGAGAGGUGAGUGGAACUCCGGGUGUAGAGGUGAAAUUCGUAGAUAUUCGGAAGAACACCAGUGGCGAAGGCGACUCACUGGCCCAAUACUGACGCUGAGGCGCGAAAGCGUGGGGAGCAAACAGGAUUAGAUACCCUGGUAGUCC
Molecule: ribosomal RNA, 425 nt
Filed under: uncultured bacterium
Lineage: Bacteria
Description: partial 16S ribosomal RNA
Rfam family: Bacterial small subunit ribosomal RNA
Source: RNAcentral